Cricetulus griseus (Chinese hamster) is the source of this 2957-nucleotide non-coding RNA. The record is from RefSeq and is a predicted model, not a curated record. NCBI's taxonomy places the organism in Eukaryota, Metazoa, Chordata, Mammalia, Rodentia, Cricetidae.
CUUAUAAAAUAUAUAGAUUUAUAAUUAAGACUGAGCUAACAAAUGAGAAUCCUAGUCAUUGGCCAAUCAGCAUUUGUACCUAAUAUAAGUCUCAGUGUAUUAAUUGGGGCUUUAACUUGGCCGGCAGAACUCAGGAGGCUGGUGGAGACCGCCCACUUGGUGGUAGAGCUCGGGUGGCUUUUGGCGGAAAGAUUCAUCAUAACAUAGGGUAAUGCUUUAACCAUUUCAGAUAUGUGAGCAAAACAAAUCACUGCCAGUGUUUAGAGACAUGGAGAGAAAGCAAAGGCAAUGGAAAUGCUCUUAAUCAGGGCUUGCUGACUAGUCACUAAAGAGUCAUGCAAAGGUUAAUCAUACUGUUAAUCUUGAUGUAAACCACGAAAGAGUCAGUAGUCAAGGGCACAAAAUUAGACACAUUCUCAUUGUUACCACACUGUUACACGUUCUCAUGGCUACCACAUUGUGUAUGAACCAGCUGACCUCACAGCUUUCAUGGAAGGAGAAACUCACUAUAACCUAGCAAGGCAGGUGCAGAAUGUGUGUUUAAAUGUAGCCUUUUGCAUUACACAUUUACAAUUGUGGAAUUUAUAUAUUUAAUAGGAAUUAUGAUACAGAUAUUAACUCUAACUGAAUAGUAUUUGAUGAACUGGCUAUAAAACUACAUGAAAAAAAUAUUUGGAGAAUUCUUUAUUGGUAUCGAUAAAUUGAGUAUUGCUUUUCAAUCUUAGCACUAUACCUUUGAAUUUGAUAUAAAUGGUACUAAGUUGCUACAAGAGUUAGCAAAUUUAUUUAAUUUGCAUAGACAUAGUUGGGAAACAAAUAAAUUGUGGUUCGAAGUCAAAUCAACUCUUAAAAAAUGAUGAGCCAGUUUUAUCAGUGUAGGUAGAGAUAGUGAACUAAUAGUGAUUUGGUAGUUAACUUAGUUGCUAGAAAACUUCAUAUUUGAAGUGACUUGACAAUAUGGAUCUGUGGUUUUAAUAGUUAACCUUAUUAAAUCCAAUGACAUCAAUUAUUUUUGAUAAAAAUUUAGCAUCAAAAAGUGUGUUGUCAAUAUAAGAUAUACAUUGGACAUACAAAACUUAUAAAAAAAAGAAUGUAGGACACUUCAUUUUAAAAUAGGAAACUAAUUCAAAUGCAAAUUCUUGCUAUUUGGGUUAGAAAUCACCUAGGAAUAAUUAAUAGCUAUGAUGAGUCAGCGAUCAAUCACCUUUCAAUAUAUAGCUAUAUCAAAUAUCAUAUAGUAUAUAUGUGCACAUGUGUAUGUGUGUAACUUAUUAAGGGAUAAUUGACAAGUCAAAUUUAUAUUUGUUCAGUUUUAGAAAAUGAAUGGAGGGUAGGGCCAUUGGAGGUUGGCAAUAUAUAUAUAUAUAUUAGGCCUGCUGUUGAGGUGACUGAUGACUGACUCACUAUAACAUAAAUUAUUCCUAGGGCAUUUCUAACACUAAUGGUAAGAAUUUGCAUUUGGGUUACUGGACAGUAUUUCAAGUUCUAGGAGUAGGUUCCCAAAUUAUAUCAAAGCAAGGUCAACAGUGUUGGGCCUGACUUAUUGCAAAUUAAACUUUGGAAGCAGUGACCAUUGGCAGUCUCUAUGGAGUAUUCAUAGUAAAGAUAAAGUAACACACUUUAUUUUAGUAUAUAUGUAUUUAUCACAGUAAUGAUACUCCAUAAAAGUGAGUGGUUUAGGGUAAGAAGUAUUAGGUGAUUGACAUUAUUUAGUAACAGGAAAUAGAUUUGUCAUUUUCAUGUAGCUCCAGGGAAGAUUUUGUGUUUCAGUUAAGGUGUGCAUAUUCUAAAUCUGUAAAUGAACAUCUGUGAACUGGUGUCUACAAAAGGCCUCAGCUACGAACCAACUUUGACCUUCAUAAAAUUCAAGUUCUUCACGUCCAUGCCAAUGGAGUUUGAGACCUACAGAGGAAGGGUGUACUGUGUGACCCAGUUUUGGUAGGACAAAAUGCUCUCACUCAUGAUCUCUGAGCAUUCUCUAUUCUCCAUUCAUUUCCUGCUAUUCCUAGAGUAUAUCUCCUUGCUUGUAUUAAAAUUGCUUCACAAAUAUAAACCAUUCAAGUGUUGUGAGUUCUUUCAGCUAGGAUAUACUUAAGAUGACCAAAUAUGUAGUUCCUGUAACUAUUCUCGAUUAGUUCCUUCAACAAGGGGAGGGGAUACACCAGUAUAAGCUCUAUAAUCCACUUUUGCAUCCAUACAGUGAGAAUGGCUGAUGUUUGUCCCCAGAUUUCAAGGAGGCCAAGUAGGAUAGUUAAUCUUGUCAACUUCCUAAAUUUAGAACCGCCAUGGAAACACACCUCUGGGUGUGUCCAUGAGGUUGUUUCCUGGGACUGACUAACUGAGGAAGGAAGAAUUACCCUGAAAAUUGGAGGUAUUCUCCCAUGGGCUGGCAUCUCAAACUAAUCAAAAAGGAAAAAGUGAGUUGAGCACCAGCAUUCAUCUCUCUUUACCGUUUGGCUGUCGAUUCAACCUGAUCACCCACCUCAAGAUCCUGACAUGACACCUCACUCCCAUGGUGGACUAUAGCCCCUCAAAUCUUUCAUACAGAUGCCUUUAUGUAGGUGACUGGCAUAGAAUGGAGCUUUGUGUCUACCACCAGCAUAGAGCAGAGCUCCAUGUCUGCUCCUGGCACAGAGUGGACCUUGGUGUCUACCCCUGGCGUUGUCCAGAGAUUGGUGUCUACCCCAGCUUCCAAGUGUAGUCAUAGAGUUCCAGGAAGCAAAUUUCUAGGAGUUUCCUGUUUUACUCUCCUCUUCUAGCAGUCUCUUCAGAAUCUUAAGGACAUCACAUCUCUGAACUGCCUGAGUAGCUGUGUUGAAAGAUCUCCUUGAGUUUAUCUUGAGUUGAAAGUUAUAUUAUCACUUCCUGGGGUGGGCACCCAGCUUUACUUUUUUUUUUUUUUAAACUACGCCUAAGACUUGGAAACAGAUUAAAGGAGAAGAAAAAAAAUAGUAAAA